Molecule: ribosomal RNA, 424 nt
Filed under: uncultured bacterium
Lineage: Bacteria
Description: partial 16S ribosomal RNA
Rfam family: Bacterial small subunit ribosomal RNA
Source: RNAcentral
AACCUUCCACAAUGGGCGAAAGCCUGUUGGAGCAACGCCGCGUGAGUGAAGAAGGCUUUCGGACCGUAAAACUCUGCUGUAAGGGAAGAACAAGUAUAGUAGUAACUGGCUGUACCUUGACGCUAUCUUAUUAUAAAGCCACUUCUAACUACUUUCCAGCAUCCUCGGUAAUACGUAGGUGGCAAGCCUUCUCCGGAAUUAUUGGGGGUAAAGCGCGCGCAGGCGGUCCUUUAAGUCUGAUGUGAAAGCCCACGGCUCAACCGUGGAGGGUCAUUGGAAACUGGGGGACUUGAGUGCAGAAGAGGAAAGUGGAAUUCCAAGUGUAGCGGUGAAAUGCGUAGAGAUUUGGAGGAACACCAGUGGCGAAGGCGACUUUCUGGUCUGUAACUGACGCUGAGGCGCGAAAGCGUGGGGAGCAAACAGG